Molecule: ribosomal RNA, 742 nt
Filed under: uncultured Leuconostoc sp.
Lineage: Bacteria; Bacillati; Bacillota; Bacilli; Lactobacillales; Lactobacillaceae
Description: bacterial SSU rRNA
Rfam family: Bacterial small subunit ribosomal RNA
Source: RNAcentral
CUGCUCAGGAUGAACGCUGGCGGCGUGCCUAAUACAUGCAAGUCGAACGCGCAGCGAGAGGUGCUUGCACCUUUCAAGCGAGUGGCGAACGGGUGAGUAACACGUGGAUAACCUGCCUCAAGGCCGGGGAUAACAUUUGGAAACAGAUGCUAAUACCGAAUAAAACUUAGUAUCGCAUGAUAUCAAGUUAAAAGGCGCUACGGCGUCACCUAGAGAUGGAUCCGCGGUGCAUUAGUUAGUUGGUGGGGUAAAGGCUUACCAAGACGAUGAUGCAUAGCCGAGUUGAGAGACUGAUCGGCCACAUUGGGACUGAGACACGGCCCAAACUCCUACGGGAGGCUGCAGUAGGGAAUCUUCCACAAUGGGCGCAAGCCUGAUGGAGCAACGCCGCGUGUGUGAUGAAGGCUUUCGGGUCGUAAAGCACUGUUGUAUGGGAAGAAAUGCUAAAAUAGGGAAUGAUUUUAGUUUGACGGUACCAUACCAGAAAGGGACGGCUAAAUACGUGCCAGCAGCCGCGGUAAUACGUAUGUCCCGAGCGUUAUCCGGAUUUAUUGGGCGUAAAGCGAGCGCAGACGGUUGAUUAAGUCUGAUGUGAAAGCCCGGAGCUCAACUCCGGAAUGGCAUUGGAAACUGGUUAACUUGAGUGUUGUAGAGGUAAGUGGAACUCCAUGUGUAGCGGUGGAAUGCGUAGAUAUAUGGAAGAACACCAGUGGCGAAGGCGGCUUACUGGACAACAACUGAC